UGGUGCCAGCAGCCGCGGUAAUUCCAGCUCCAAUAGCGUAUAUUAAAGUUGUUGCAGUUAAAAAGCUCGUAGUUGAAUUUCGGGAUUAGUACGUUGGUCGUGCCUUAGGUACGUACUGGUGUUACUGGUUCCUACCUUCUGACGAACCAUCAUGUCAUUAAUUUGGUGUGGCGGGGAAUCAGGACUGUUACUUUGAAAAAAUUAGAGUGUUUAAAGCAGGCUCGCGCUUGAAUGCAUUAGCAUGGAAUAAUGAAAUAGGACGUUGAUCCUAUUUUGUUGGUUUCUAGGAUUGACGUAAUGAUUAAUAGGGAUAGUUGGGGGCAUUAGUAUUCAAUUGUCAGAGGUGAAAUUCUUGGAUUUAUUGAAGACUAACUACUGCGAAAGCAUUUGCCAAGGAUGUUUUCAUUAAUCAAGAACGAAAGUUAGGGGAUCGAAGACGAUCAGAUACCGUCGUAGUCUUAACCAUAAACUAUGCCGACUAGGGA
RNAcentral lists this ribosomal RNA (485 nucleotides) under uncultured Glomus. RNAcentral describes it as "SSU rRNA". It matches the Rfam family "Eukaryotic small subunit ribosomal RNA", at positions 562 to 1052 of the family's 1831-position model. Lineage: Eukaryota; Fungi; Glomeromycota; Glomeromycetes; Glomerales; Glomeraceae. The record is from RNAcentral.